RNAcentral lists this ribosomal RNA (108 nucleotides) under Prevotella lacticifex. The record is from RNAcentral. Lineage: Bacteria; Pseudomonadati; Bacteroidota; Bacteroidia; Bacteroidales; Prevotellaceae.
AGGUGGUCAUUGCGGUGGGGGCACACCUCUUCCCAUUUCGAACAGAGAAGUUAAGCCCAUUUGCGCCGAUGGUACUGCAAUGUUUUGUGGGAGAGCAGGUAGCCGCCU